This 77-nucleotide transfer RNA is filed under the name Chloroflexota bacterium. RNAcentral's name for it is "tRNA-Phe". It matches the Rfam family "tRNA". From Rfam's summary of the family: Transfer RNA (tRNA) molecules are approximately 80 nucleotides in length. Their secondary structure includes four short double-helical elements and three loops (D, anti-codon, and T loops). Lineage: Bacteria; Bacillati; Chloroflexota. The record is from RNAcentral.
GCCGCUGUAGCUCAGUUUGGUAGAGCGCCGGGCCGAAAACCCGGGCGUCGCAGGUUCGAUCCCUGCCGGCGGCACCA